GGUGGUUCAGUGGUAGAGUGCUUGCCUUGCAUGCAUGAGGUCCUGAGUUCAAUUCCUCAGCACCA
Molecule: transfer RNA, 65 nt
Filed under: Dipodomys ordii (Ord's kangaroo rat)
Lineage: Eukaryota; Metazoa; Chordata; Mammalia; Rodentia; Heteromyidae
Rfam family: tRNA
About the family: Transfer RNA (tRNA) molecules are approximately 80 nucleotides in length. Their secondary structure includes four short double-helical elements and three loops (D, anti-codon, and T loops).
Source: Rfam by way of RNAcentral